Molecule: ribosomal RNA, 460 nt
Filed under: uncultured bacterium
Lineage: Bacteria
Description: partial 16S ribosomal RNA
Rfam family: Bacterial small subunit ribosomal RNA
Source: RNAcentral
CCUACGGGGGGCAGCAGUGAGGAAUAUUGGUCAAUGGACGAGAGUCUGAACCAGCCAAGUAGCGUAAAGGAUGACUGCCCUAUGGGUUGUAAACUUCUUUUAUAUGGGAAUAAAACGUUCCACGUGUGGGAUUUUGUAUGUACCAUAUGAAUAAGGAUCGGCUAACUCCGUGCCAGCAGCCGCGGUAAUACGGAGGAUCCGAGCGUUAUCCGGCUUUAUUGGGUUUAAAGGGAGCGUAGGUGGAUUGUUAAGUCAGUUGUGAAAGUUUGCGGCUCAACCGUAAAAUUGCAGUUGAAACUGGCAGUCUUGAGUACAGUAGAGGUGGGCGGAAUUCGUGGUGUAGCGGUGAAAUGCUUAGAUAUCACGAAGAACUCCGAUUGCGAAGGCAGUUCACUGGACUGCAACUGACACUGAGGCUCGAAAGUGUGGGUAUCAAACAGGAUUAGAUACCCGGGUAGUC